This 369-nucleotide ribosomal RNA is filed under the name uncultured phototrophic eukaryote. RNAcentral describes it as "SSU rRNA". It matches the Rfam family "Bacterial small subunit ribosomal RNA", at positions 524 to 896 of the family's 1533-position model. The record is from RNAcentral.
UACGGGGGAUGCAAGCGUUAUCCGGAUUUAUUGGGCGUAAAGCGCCUGUAGGUUGUUUAAUAAGUCUGUUGUUAAAGACUAGGGCUCAACCCUGGGAAAGCAAUGGAAACUGAUAAACUUGAGUAUGGCAGGGGUAGAGGGAAUUUCUAGUGUAGCGGUGAAAUGCGUAGAUAUUAGAAAGAACACCGGCGGCGAAAGCGCUCUACUGGACCAUUACUGACACUCAGAGGCGAAAGCUAGGGGAGCAAAAGGGAUUAGAUACCCCUGUAGUCCUAGCCGUAAACGAUGGAUACUAGAUGUUGCGCAAUUUGUGCAGUAUCUUAGCUAACGCGUUAAGUAUCCCGCCUGGGGAGUACGCUCGCAAGGGUG